Molecule: long non-coding RNA, 253 nt
Organism: Prunus persica (peach)
Lineage: Eukaryota; Viridiplantae; Streptophyta; Magnoliopsida; Rosales; Rosaceae
Exons: 2
Source: RefSeq, a predicted model, not a curated record
AUGCAUGAUUUAAUACAAGAAAUGGCAUUUCAAAUUGAUCGUCAAGAGUCUCCUAAAAAGUCGGUGGACGCAGUCGAUUGUGUCAUCGUAAUGACAUCAUUCAUGUAUUGAUAAACAAUACAGCAACUAACAAAAUUCAAGGCAUUGCCUUAAGAAUGGCGGAGCUUGAAAGGUGGAUAUUGGAAUUGUGAAGCAUUCUCUAAGAUGAUUAACCUGAAAUUUCUUGAAGUUGAUAAUGUGAUCAUUUCCUCAA